RNAcentral lists this ribosomal RNA (492 nucleotides) under uncultured bacterium. RNAcentral describes it as "partial 16S ribosomal RNA". It matches the Rfam family "Bacterial small subunit ribosomal RNA", at positions 29 to 507 of the family's 1533-position model. The record is from RNAcentral.
AGUGAACGCUGGCGGUAGGCCUAACACAUGCAAGUCGAACGGCAGCACAGUAAGAGCUUGCUCUUACGGGUGGCGAGUGGCGGACGGGUGAGGAAUACAUCGGAAUCUACUUUUUCGUGGGGGAUAACGUAGGGAAACUUACGCUAAUACCGCAUACGACCUACGGGUGAAAGCAGGGGAUCUUCGGACCUUGCGCGAUUGAAUGAGCCGAUGUCGGAUUAGCUAGUUGGCGGGGUAAAGACCCACCAAGGCGAAGAUCCGUAGCUGGUCUGAGAGGAUGAUCAGUCACACUGGAACGUAGACACGGUCCAGUGUCCUACGGGAGGGACCAGAGGGGAAUAGUGGACAAUGGGCGAAAGCUUGAUCCAGCCAUGCCGCGUGUGUGAAGAAGGUCCUCGGAUUGUAAAGCACUUUAAGUUGAGAGGAAGGGCAGUAAGUUAAUACCUUGCUGUUUUGACGUUACCAACAGAAUAAGCACCGGCUAACUUCGUG